This 2880-nucleotide ribosomal RNA is filed under the name Stenotrophomonas maltophilia. RNAcentral describes it as "23S ribosomal RNA". It matches the Rfam family "Bacterial large subunit ribosomal RNA". Lineage: Bacteria; Pseudomonadati; Pseudomonadota; Gammaproteobacteria; Lysobacterales; Lysobacteraceae. RNAcentral also lists the same sequence under 1 other name. The record is from RNAcentral.
GGUCAAGCGAAUAAGCGCACACGGUGGAUGCCUUGGCGGUCAGAGGCGAUGAAGGACGUGGCAGCCUGCGAAAAGUAUCGGGGAGCUGGCAACAAGCUUUGAUCCGGUAAUGUCCGAAUGGGGAAACCCACCCGCUUGCGGGUAUCCUGCAGUGAAUACAUAGCUGCUGGAAGCGAACCUGGUGAACUGAAAUAUCUAAGUAACCAGAGGAAAAGAAAUCAACCGAGAUUCCGUAAGUAGCGACGAGCGAACGCGGACUAGCCCUUAAGCUGAUUUGGUUCUAGGAAAACGCUCUGGAAAGAGCGGCCAUAGAAGGUGAUAGCCCUGUAUCUGAAAGGGCCAUUUCAGUGAAGACGAGUAGGGCGGGGCACGUGAAACCCUGUCUGAACAUGGGGGGACCAUCCUCCAAGGCUAAAUACUACUGACCGACCGAUAGUGAACCAGUACCGUGAGGGAAAGGCGAAAAGAACCCCGGAGAGGGGAGUGAAAUAGAACCUGAAACCGUGUGCGUACAAGCAGUAGGAGCUCCGCAAGGAGUGACUGCGUACCUUUUGUAUAAUGGGUCAGCGACUUACUGUUCGUGGCAAGCUUAACCGUAUAGGGGAGGCGAAGGGAAACCGAGUCUGAUAAGGGCGCAUAGUCGCGGGCAGUAGACCCGAAACCGGGUGAUCUAGUCAUGCCCAGGGUGAAGGUGCGGUAACACGCACUGGAGGCCCGAACCCACUCCCGUUGCAAAGGUAGGGGAUGAGGUGUGAUUAGGAGUGAAAAGCUAAUCGAACCCGGAGAUAGCUGGUUCUCCUCGAAAGCUAUUUAGGUAGCGCCUCAUAUGUAUCCUCUCGGGGGUAGAGCACUGUUAUGGCUAGGGGGUCAUCGCGACUUACCAAACCAUUGCAAACUCCGAAUACCGAGACGGACUGUAUGGGAGACACACGGCGGGUGCUAACGUCCGUCGUGAAAAGGGAAACAACCCAGACCCACAGCUAAGGUCCCAAAUUCACUGCUAAGUGGAAAACCAUGUGGAAAGGCACAGACAGCCAGGAGGUUGGCUUAGAAGCAGCCACCCUUUAAAGAAAGCGUAAUAGCUCACUGGUCGAGUCGGUCUGCGGGGAAGAUUUAACGGGGCUAAGCAGUGAACCGAAGCUUGGGGUGCAUAACUUUGUUAUGCGCGGUAGAGGAGCGUUCCGUAAGCCGUUGAAGGUGGAUUGAGAAGUCUGCUGGAGGUAUCGGAAGUGCGAAUGCUGACAUGAGUAACGAUAAUGCGGGUGAAAAACCCGCACGCCGAAAGCCCAAGGUUUCCUUGCGCAACGUUAAUCGGCGCAGGGUGAGUCGGCCCCUAAGGCGAGGACGAAAGUCGUAGUCGAUGGGAAGCAGGUUAAUAUUCCUGCACCUCGCGUAAGUGCGAUGGAGGGACGGAGAAGGUUAGGUGUACCAGGCGUUGGUUGUCCUGGGGAAAGGCGGUAGGUUUGGAUCUUUGGCAAAUCCGGGAUCCUCUAAGACCGAGCACCGAGACGAGCCUUUAUGGCGAAGUCACUGAUACCACGCUUCCAGGAAAAGCUCCUAAGCUUCAGCUUACGCAGACCGUACCGUAAACCGACACAGGUGGGUAGGAUGAGAAUUCUCAGGCGCUUGAGAGAACUCGGGUGAAGGAACUAGGCAACAUGGCACCGUAACUUCGGGAGAAGGUGCACCCUUUUUGGUGGCUCGUGCGAGCUAUAGCUGAAGAGGGUCGCAGUAACCAGGCCGCUGCGACUGUUUAUCAAAAACACAGCACUCUGCAAACACGAAAGUGGACGUAUAGGGUGUGACGCCUGCCCGGUGCUGGAAGGUUAAUUGAUGGGGUCAGCCGCAAGGCGAAGCUCUUGAUCGAAGCCCCAGUAAACGGCGGCCGUAACUAUAACGGUCCUAAGGUAGCGAAAUUCCUUGUCGGGUAAGUUCCGACCUGCACGAAUGGCGUAACGACAGCGGCGCUGUCUCCACCCGAGACUCAGUGAAAUUGAAAUCGCUGUGAAGAUGCAGCGUUCCCGUGGCAAGACGGAAAGACCCCGUGAACCUUUACUAUAGCUUUACACUGAACGUUGAGUUCGUCUGUGUAGGAUAGGUGGGAGGCUAUGAAACCAUGGCGCUAGCUGUGGCGGAGCCAUCCUUGAAAUACCACCCUGUCGUGCUUGACGUUCUAACCUGGGCCCAUUAUCUGGGUCGGGGACCGUGUAUGGUGGGUAGUUUGACUGGGGCGGUCUCCUCCUAAAGAGUAACGGAGGAGCUCGAAGGUACGCUCAGCGCGGUCGGACAUCGCGCACUGUGUGCAAAGGCAUAAGCGUGCUUGACUGCAAGAUCGACGGAUCAAGCAGGUAGGAAACUAGGACUUAGUGAUCCGGUGGUUCUGUAUGGAAGGGCCAUCGCUCAACGGAUAAAAGGUACUCCGGGGAUAACAGGCUGAUACCGCCCAAGAGUUCAUAUCGACGGCGGUGUUUGGCACCUCGAUGUCGGCUCAUCACAUCCUGGGGCUGUAGUCGGUCCCAAGGGUAUGGCUGUUCGCCAUUUAAAGUGGUACGCGAGCUGGGUUCAGAACGUCGUGAGACAGUUCGGUCCCUAUCUGCCAUGGGCGUUGGAGAUUUGAGAGGGGCUGCUCCUAGUACGAGAGGACCGGAGUGGACGAACCUCUGGUGUUCCGGUUGUCACGCCAGUGGCAUUGCCGGGUAGCUAUGUUCGGAAGCGAUAACCGCUGAAAGCAUCUAAGCGGGAAGCGCGCCUCAAGAUGAGAUCUCCCGGGGCACAAGCCCCCUGAAGGAACCAUGUAGACUACGUGGUUGAUAGGUCAGGUGUGUAAGUACAGCAAUGUAUUGAGCUAACUGAUACUAAUGAUCCGAGAGGCUUGACCAU